Long non-coding RNA from Eriocheir sinensis (Chinese mitten crab), 641 nucleotides. RefSeq lists it as uncharacterized. Lineage: Eukaryota; Metazoa; Arthropoda; Malacostraca; Decapoda; Varunidae. The record is from RefSeq and is a predicted model, not a curated record. The transcript has 3 exons.
UUGGGAGUUCAAGAACUGUUGCUACGCACUACCUGAACUACAGAAUAUAUAUAAGGUGGACGCAGGCUUCACGCACACCAGACGCAGAUUCUUCAUUGAGACAGUUGAACCUUCCUUCACUCGGCAUCAUGAAAGCCUUGACAAUCCUGCUGUUGGUGGCGGCCGUGGCCCUGACGGUGCUGGUGGUGGUGCAAGCCUUGCCUGAACCUGAUCCUGAAGCAUACCCCGAGGCCUACGCUCUUCCUGAUCCACGCUGGGGUCGUAGGGGAUAUGGAGGUGGAUUUGGACAUGGAGGUGGAUUUGGACAUGGAGGUGGAUUUGGACAUGGUGGACAUCAUGGUCAUGGUCGCUAUCGUGGUUAGUCCACGUGUGGUAGAAGCAGCAAAGGAGCCUUCAUCACCGUGCUGGUCACUCUUGUGUCAAUAGCGAGACAAGAUCCUCAUACGUAGGCCUCCCCAAGCAACACCGUCGUCACCGCUUCCACAGAUGCAUCUUUAUUUUCGUAUUUCCUCUUGUGCCAGGGCUACGGAAUACUGUUGUCAAAAUCUAUUGAAAUCAUCUCUUUUCAAUGACUUAUUCUUGUCUACAAAGUUUCUCACCAUGUUUGACCUUUUACGUCAGAAUAAAUAAUUGCAAGCAUA